This 425-nucleotide ribosomal RNA is filed under the name uncultured bacterium. Its description in RNAcentral is "bacterial SSU rRNA". It matches the Rfam family "Bacterial small subunit ribosomal RNA", at positions 80 to 537 of the family's 1533-position model. The record is from RNAcentral.
CAAUACCUGANUAAAGUGGCGCACGGGUGAGUAACACGUGACUAACCUACCCUGGAGUGGGGGAUAACUGAGGGAAACCUUAGCUAAUACCGCAUAACACCUACGGGUCAAAGGAGCAAUUCGCUUCAGGAGGGGGUCGCGGCCGAUUAGUUAGUUGGCGGGGUAAUGGCCCACCAAGACUGUGAUCGGUAUCCGGCCUGAGAGGGCGCACGGACACACUGGAACUGAAACACGGUCCAGACUCCUACGGGAGGCAGCAGUGGGGAAUUUUGCGCAAUGGGGGAAACCCUGACGCAGCAACGCCGCGUGGAGGAUGAAGUCCUUCGGGACGUAAACUCCUUUCGAUCGGGACGAUUAUGACGGUACCGGAAGAAGAAGCCCCGGCUAACUUCGUGCCAGCAGCCGCGGUAAUACGAGGGGGGCGA